UAUCUCUGUAGAGUCUGCAUAUCAAUAAGCGGAGGAAAAGAAACUAACAAGGAUUCCCUUAGUAACGGCGAGUGAAGCGGGAAAAGCUCAAAUUUGAAAUCUUCAAGGUUCUACCUUGACGAAUUGUAGUUUAAAGAAGUGUUUUCUGUUGAAGUUUUGGUAAAAGUUCUUUGGAAUAGGACAUCAUAGAGGGUGAGAAUCCCGUAUUUGACCAUUAUUUUCAGCUGUGUGAUACACUUUCAAAGAGUCGGAUUGUUUGGGAAUGCAGUCCAAAAUGGGUGGUAAAUUUCAUCUAAAGCUAAAUAUUGGCGAGAGACCGAUAGCGAACAAGUACCGUGAGGGAAAGAUGAAAAGAACUUUGAAAAGAGAGUUAAACAGUACGUGAAAUUGUCAAAAGGGAAGCGUUUGACACCAGUGUUGUUUUUCCGAAAAUCAAUUACGAAUGGCUUGAUUCUGUGUUGUAUUGACCUUAUCAGCUUUCUUCACUUUUUUCGAGUCUUUCUUAAUGCACUCUUCGGUUAACAAGUCAACAUCAAUUUCUUUUGUUGUAAAAGAGUAUUCGGAAGGUGGCUUUCUUUUCGGAGAAAGUGUUUAUAGCCCUAUACUUCUACAAUCGGAGAGAUUGAGGUCUGCAGCGUAGAUCCUUCGGGGUUAGAUACAUUUGUGCUAAGUUGUAGCUUUUCAUAGACAACUUGUUGACUAUGUUUAGUCAUUGUAGGCUUACUCGCUUAUGCUAUUUUACCUACGCUUAGGAUGUUGAAGAUAUGCGCGACACG
This 776-nucleotide ribosomal RNA is filed under the name uncultured Neocallimastigales. Its description in RNAcentral is "partial large subunit ribosomal RNA". It matches the Rfam family "Eukaryotic large subunit ribosomal RNA", at positions 24 to 644 of the family's 3401-position model. The record is from RNAcentral. Lineage: Eukaryota; Fungi; Neocallimastigomycota; Neocallimastigomycetes; Neocallimastigales.